UUGGCAAUCAGGUCUUCUCAGAUGUGAGUAGUUAAAUGGGGUCAUACUGGAGUUGGGUCCUUAUAAGAAGAGGGAAAUUUGGACACAGACACAGAAGACACAGGGAGAAUGCCAGGUGACGACGGAGGCAGACAGAGGACACCUGGGGCCACCAGAAGCUGGAAGAGAGAGUUCUGCAGAGUCUGCUGCUCCAAGGGCUCUGCUGACUCCUCCUCACCCUCUCUCCUCUGCCAGGCACCCCUGGCUGGAGGGGGAGACAGACAUCGACCGGAAGAGCUGGAAGACCUGGCGUUGCGCAGCGGCCUUGGGUACUUAACAAGUGUCUCAGGGUUAGAACCCUCUCGCCCAUGGAGCUUGUGCCUCAGUCGGGGGAGACAACCACACACCCAAACGUCCAAGUUGUUCCACGUUCCAGGCUGGAUGCUUGUUGGCUGCCAGGAGCUUCCAGGAUGAAGUUGAAGGUAGAGGUGGCAACUGCAACCUACAGCACCAGUCACGGAUACGUCUCCUCUGCUGGUUUGCUGUUCACCUUCUCCGUGGCACUGGGAGAAAGCAGCUUUUUGCAAACAUCGGUGACGAAGGUUCAAAGGUUUGGUCGCACAAAGGGAAGCUACGGUGUGGUGGGAGUUUGCAGCCUGCCUGUUGAUUUGGAGCCUCAUGUGUGUUGGGAGUCUUCUUUGAUUGAGAAGCUGGUGGCAGGCAAUGCCCCAUGUUUCUGGGUGCCCCUCAGAGUCAGGUGUGAGGGGUCCGUCUGUGCACCUUGGAUGUCCAGCUGAAUCUCAGCCGCCUUGAAUCUGAUCCCAGGGCUUUGUGUGGUCUCAGGAAUCUGCAUAUCUGCUGGCCCCACCUCCUGCACCCCUGUGUGUGCACAUGCAAGUCUGUUCCAGGCUCCGGUGCUGCAUGCGCUCUGUAUGAUGCUGUGGGACAUCGGCAGGGUUUUCGAGCUUCCAGCAAGUCCACCUUGGCUGACGCAGGAUGGGGUACCAGUGUCAUGGCUCCGUUGUGGCCAAUUCGAUGGACCACAGAAAAGCCCUUUACCCUUUCUGAGCCCCAAAGCAGGUAGAAGCAGUCCUCUGGAAACGCAGUGGCAACCUGCUGUGAUGCCUGUAAGCCGGUGCCUGCUGGGGCUCAGCUCAUGGUCACCGUGACCACUUUCCUGACAUUCUCUAUCGUUGCCCUCCUCUUCAGCGCCCUGCUCAUAUCUGGUCCACUCAACCUCCCUCUCCCUGGGCCCUGCGUGAGAUUUGCAUACAGGUGCCCCUGCCUGGUGCAGCUGAAGGGGUGGGGAUGGGGUGAGCAGCCCAUGCUAGGAGGGCCAGCAGCACAGAACACAUGUGGUGGGAAAAUGGCUACUCGGAAUGUGGGUUUUAUUUCCCUGCCACCUCCUCAGAGCUGCCUCCUGACUCCUGUGCCAGAUGGGAGAGGUGGGCUCUGGUAUUUGGGGCCCUUUGGUAUUAGCUCCCCCUGGAGCCUUGUCACCUUUAGUCACUGUCCAAGCCUCAGUUCCUGGUCUAUAAUUGGGGGGAUGGAGGCAUGGGGAACAGCCUACAAGAGCUUGUGUAAGGAGGAACCCAGGCCCUGCACCUGCUGGAGAUGGACUGCCCAGGCCCCUGGAGGACCCCUCCACCCAGGCUGCACUUGCACAAAGGCCUCCUGUGAAGACUUCCAGGGCUCCCUCCAGACGGGUGGUGCUCAACUAGGCAGGACUGCGAGCCUCGACAGGGCCACCCACAAACCCUGAUGUCACUGUGUGUCUGAAGUGUUUUUAUAAAUCCAGCAAUUAUCUGCCUGAUCUUGGCCCUGAGCCUCAGACUGGAACCCAUGUCCUGAGGACAACAGAGCUCAUCCCACAAGCCGGCCCUCCCCAGGUCCCCCACUCACUUGCAAGGCACUCGCCUCUGGACUGAGUGGAUGGUCCUCGCUACCCUCGGACUUCACUUAAAGGUUUCUGGUCUGAUUUGGUCUGGGGUGAGAGAGGAAAAGUGGGAAGGAGGAGAAAGGUGAUGUGGGUAGGGG
Molecule: non-coding RNA, 2016 nt
Organism: Equus caballus (horse)
Lineage: Eukaryota; Metazoa; Chordata; Mammalia; Perissodactyla; Equidae
Source: RefSeq, a predicted model, not a curated record